Molecule: long non-coding RNA, 250 nt
Filed under: Populus trichocarpa (black cottonwood)
Lineage: Eukaryota; Viridiplantae; Streptophyta; Magnoliopsida; Malpighiales; Salicaceae
Description: long non-coding RNA (PTRI_LNC001740)
Source: RNAcentral
AUGUGUUGUCUGUGGAUUUAAACAUGAGAAGGAAGCCUUAACCUGGUCUGUUAUUUUAUCCGCUUGAACCAUUCUGUAUCUUCAGAACAUAAUGGGUUUUUUCACUGUCGUUUAUUUGCAAUUUAUUUUAUUCUCUGGAAUGAAAUUUCUGCUGUUUUCUUUACUUGUCCAUUCUCUGACAUUCUUGUAUUGGAUAUCAUCUUUUAAUCUAGCCAUGUCUAUGGCGCGUGUUUUGAAUUUUGUUGCAGGU